GCACUGCUGACGAGAUCCGAACAGGUCGAAACAGCUGUCCAGUAC
RNAcentral lists this non-coding RNA (45 nucleotides) under Echinostoma caproni. The record is from RNAcentral. Lineage: Eukaryota; Metazoa; Platyhelminthes; Trematoda; Plagiorchiida; Echinostomatidae.